This 1295-nucleotide long non-coding RNA is filed under the name Oryzias sinensis (Chinese medaka). RNAcentral describes it as "lncRNA (ENSOSIG00000012153.1)". The record is from RNAcentral. Lineage: Eukaryota; Metazoa; Chordata; Actinopteri; Beloniformes; Adrianichthyidae.
UGCCUUAACUCCCUGUUUUGCUUUUUUGUUCUUUCUUUUCUUGUUUUUAUAGAUCUCAAUCCACUAGUUAAGGACAGUACUCUGCCAUGUCCUAAAGUGAGACCAAUGAACUUUACCCAUUAUCCCAUCAAAAGCGAUGGACGUCCAUGUUCAAGGUGAGACAUUUUAAUAAAUGAAGUGUAGUUUUAUCAUUGGAGCCGGUUUAGCUCGUGCUGGUUUGCGGCGCCUUCCGUCCGUGAAACCAGGGUUUGACUCCGGGCUGCUCCCUGUUCCCUUCUCUACCUCUGUGCCAGUCCCAGGCCCGGUUGCUUUGAGAAGGUUGCAUCAGGAAGGGCAUCCGGCGUAAAACAUUGCCAAGUUUACCAUGCGACUUGUUCGCUGUGGUGACCCCUGAUGGGAAAAGCCGAAAGAGGAAGAAGAAGUGUAGUUUUAUCAUUAUGCCAACUUUGGAUGUUAAGAACUCAUUUCAGUAUCAUUUAAAAAAAUAAUAUUAUUUAAAAGUAGUUUUUCAUAUUCAAAAAUUCUGAAAAUUCUGCAUGACAACACUAACAACUUUAUUCCCCAUGACCAGACCUCCAAUCACCAAUGGAUCAUUUGAAAACAGCACAACUGAAUUUCCCUCAACUUCACAAACUCGUCCUGAUGAAGAUGUUGACAGCAUCUUUUGCCACUCUCCUGCCAUGAUGCCCUCUGUCACCCUCAUCUUCCUACCAGUGCUGAUAAUUCUGUUACCUUAGUGUGGGAUGUUUUCAUUUUUUCAUGUGAUUUUUAAAUAAGGCGAUUCAAUUAAUUAAAUCUGGAAUUUUUGGGUUUAUGGUAUAAUUGUAACGUUAAAACAUUAUUCUGGCAGGAAAAACAAAAAUGGAUAUAUAAAAGAAAAAUAAUACUCAUCAUAAGGUGGAAGUAUUUUAUUUUUUUAAUAAUCAUUAGCUGAUUAAAUUGUAUCAACUGUGAAAUGGAAAAAGUAAAACUAGAAUAUGAGUAAUUCACAUAAGAAUGUGUAUGUUUAACGGUUUUGUUAGCCACAAAAUAUGUAUAUACCAGUACAUAUAUACAUGUGGAUACAUAUUUUGUACAUGACAGAUAGGAGAAAUAAUUUUCCAAAGCUUUUUGGGAUCUGAGAAGAUUUCUUUUAUCCAACACUGUUCACAUAACCCCAGCUUAUUGUUACUUCCUUCUUUAUGGUAGUUACCUUAGAAAGGGGUCACUACAAUUAAAACAGUAUGGAUGACUAAUUACCAGUCCUGUGCCUUUUUCAGUGAACUGUAGCCUAGGACGAACAUCAAUUUAUGAUG